CUUAUUGUAAAAUAGUUGAAUUAUUGGUCAUGCCUACAUAUUUUGCUUACAUGUUGGCAAGACAAGUAGGAGCAUGCCAAGGAGAGCUGGAAUGGUCAGGUUGCAGUGGGCUUGGGUUCUAGACCUUAUCUCUGAAAUCUUCCACAUAUGCACAUUCUUUGCUGCUGCAGAUAUUUGCACAAGACUUAUUUUUUCAUUUUCUUCUUUGAAUCUGGAGAUGUUUCAGUUUUAGUUCCUACAGGAUUUUGAGCACUUGCAGUCCUUGAAUGGAGAUUGUCCUUUCAGAGACGAAUGAACCCUCAGAAUUAGUACUGAGUUCCCUAAACAUCUACCAUAAGCACAAACAACCCAUGUGUCUGUUUCAAGCAGUGAAGAACUGGCAUCCAGAAACAGAGGAACAGUCAAGCCACAAAAUAGAGUUCCCAUCCUUCCAUGGUCAUGAAGGCACAGGAGCAACCAGAACCUGGAUAGAAGAGCCACCUAAAAAUAACUUGGGAGAAUUCUGCAAAGGAGGCAUCCCACUAGAUUUUCCAAUCUACAGGCCUGGAGUGAGCAGGAGUAAUUACAGAGCCCAGAUCUUCACCACUGCAGAGAGAAGGAGAGAGGAGAGUUGGGGAGAGUGCUCGGUAUGCACUGGAAGUAUAAAGAAACUAAAAUUCACCUGAGAAUUUUUGUAAGCCCUACAUUCAUGAGAAACUUGCAGCUGCAUCAGAGCCAUCAGGAUUGGAUAGGACUUCCAUUUCUACUCCAAGCUGAAGAGGAGUGAAGCACUUUGGAAUGGCCAUCUCCAGGACUUCAAGGAAAUUUGGAAACUUCCUGCACAGAUCUUGGAGCAAGAAGUGAGUAUGAGGAAAAUUCAAACCAGGGCAUUUCAGGGAAGGUGGAACUACYGAGGGUAUCAUUAGAAAGCUCCCAAAUGGAUGUUUUCCAAUACUGUAAUUGCUGGAAAGACUGGGAAAAAAGAUAUGGGACAGAACAGCA
This is a non-coding RNA of Urocitellus parryii (Arctic ground squirrel), 981 nucleotides long. The record is from RefSeq and is a predicted model, not a curated record. NCBI's taxonomy places the organism in Eukaryota, Metazoa, Chordata, Mammalia, Rodentia, Sciuridae.